Molecule: ribosomal RNA, 254 nt
Filed under: uncultured bacterium
Lineage: Bacteria
Description: partial 16S ribosomal RNA
Rfam family: Bacterial small subunit ribosomal RNA
Source: RNAcentral
CACGUAGGCACCAAGCGUUGUCCGGAUUUAUUGGGCGUAAAGAGCUCGUAGGCGGUUCAGUAAGUCGGGUGUGAAAACUUUGGGCUUAACCCAAAGCGUGCAUCCGAUACUGCUGUGACUUGAGUUCGGUAGGGGAGUGGGGAAUUCCUAGUGUAGCGGUGAAAUGCGCAGAUAUUAGGAGGAACACCGGUGGCGAAGGCGGCUCUCUGGGACGGUACUGACGCUGAGACGCGAAAGCGUGGGGAGCGAACAGG